UGUAUUUAUUAGAUAAAAAACCAAUGCCCUUCGGGGCUUUUUGGUGAUUCAUGAUAACUUUACGGAUCGCAUAGCCUUGCGCUGGCGACGGUUCAUUCAAAUUUCUGCCCUAUCAACUUUCGAUGGUAAGGUAUUGGCUUACCAUGGUUUCAACGGGUAACGGGGAAUUAGGGUUCGAUUCCGGAGAGGGGGCCUGAGAAACGGCUACCACAUCCAAGGAAGGCAGCAGGCGCGCAAAUUACCCAAUCCCGACACGGGGAGGUAGUGACAAUAAAUACUGAUACAGGGCUCUUUUGGGUCUUGUAAUUGGAAUGAGUACAAUUUAAACCUCUUAACGAGGAACAAUUGGAGGGCAAGUCUGGUGCCAGCAGCCGCGGUAAUUCCAGCUCCAAUAGCGUAUAUUAAAGUUGUUGCAGUUAAAAAGCUCGUAGUUGAAACUUGGGCCUGGCUGGCGGGUCCGCCUCACCGCGUGCACUCGUCCGGCCGGGCCUUCCUUCUGAAGAACCUCAUGCCCUUCACUGGGCGUGCUGGGAAACCAGG
RNAcentral lists this ribosomal RNA (540 nucleotides) under uncultured eukaryote. RNAcentral's name for it is "SSU rRNA". It matches the Rfam family "Eukaryotic small subunit ribosomal RNA", at positions 202 to 746 of the family's 1831-position model. The record is from RNAcentral.